Molecule: non-coding RNA, 45 nt
Organism: Gasterosteus aculeatus (three-spined stickleback)
Lineage: Eukaryota; Metazoa; Chordata; Actinopteri; Perciformes; Gasterosteidae
Source: Rfam
CAAACGGCUCUUUUAAGAGCUACAAACACGUUAUCAUUGAGCAAA